Molecule: ribosomal RNA, 439 nt
Filed under: uncultured bacterium
Lineage: Bacteria
Description: partial 16S ribosomal RNA
Rfam family: Bacterial small subunit ribosomal RNA
Source: RNAcentral
CUACGGGAGGCUCCAGUGAGGAAUAUUGCACAAUGGGGGAAACCCUGAUGCAGCAACGCCGCGUGGAGGAUGACGCAUUUCGGUGUGUAAACUCCUUUUAUCAGAGAAGAAAAUGACGGUAUCUGAUGAAUAAGCUCCGGCUAACUCCGUGCCAGCAGCCGCGGUAAUACGGAGGGAGCAAGCGUUAUUCGGAAUCACUGGGCGUAAAGGACGCGUAGGCGGGUUUUUAAGUCAGGUGUGAAAUCCUAUGGCUCAACCAUAGAACUGCACCUGAAACUGGGGACCUAGAGUAUGGAAGGGGCAGGUGGAAUUAGUGGUGUAGGGGUAAAAUCCGUAGAUAUCACUAGGAAUACCGAAAGCGAAGGCGACCUACUGGAACAUUACUGACGCUGAGGCAUGAAAGCGUAGGAAGCAAACAGGAUUAGAUACCCCCGUAGUC